This 359-nucleotide unclassified non-coding RNA is filed under the name Hevea brasiliensis (rubber tree). The record is from RNAcentral. Lineage: Eukaryota; Viridiplantae; Streptophyta; Magnoliopsida; Malpighiales; Euphorbiaceae.
GUUUGAUCAAAAGGCACCUGAUCGGGUUGCAGUGUAGAUUGAUCACCAUCAGAAGUUUUUAUAUUGGACUCUUCCACACGAACAACGGUAUUAGGAGAUGAUGGUUUUUCUGAUGCAUUAGUAGUUUUCCCGUUUGUUGUACAUUUUGAACCAAAAAUCAUCAACAAAUCCUCGAGAUAAGAAUCCUUAUCCGCAUCUUUGUUGGCUUUAUUCUCUAGUGACGGGUUGAAAUCGUUUGGAAUAGGUGCUCCAGUAGGUUCUAUUUCUGCACCAUGAGUCACAGCAAUGUUCUUGGCAUCUUCGCAAGAUGAAUCUUGUGAUACAGUUGCAAUGCUCGACCCCAUGGUGCAGAAAUAGAA